UACCCACACUCAAAUGCAAGCUCAAACCAAUUUAUGUAAAUUACUUUUUAAGAUGACAUAAAUGAUGAUAUCAUAACAAGUAACACAUAACCAAUAUCACAAGAGUCAAGUAACAAUAUGGCAGCAAAUAACACAAUAUUUCAAUUGUAAAUUCAAGAGGGUGUUAGAAUGCGCAAAUCGAGCAAACCAAUCUAUUGGUUCGUAUUUUAAGGAGAGAUGCGAGUCUUUAUCGAUCUGAAGCCUCCAGUAACUACCUUGAAUCAUCUAACAGCUGCUGAAACACCAGGAAACACCACCGAGCCACCAACAGAAAAGUUUCUCCGUUUUCACUUUUCUGCCCGAGACUGUAUCUGCUUCCACAGUACACCAAACUAAAAUCCAACACCACCAGAAGGUCAGAAAUUUAUCAAGGAACAAUCUGUCUUUUUUGAUCUCCGGCUAAAACUCCCUCACGCGCCCUAACGCUUCGAGGACGUCUUCUGCGCGUGGUUUCACGCGCCGCCUCCACCGAUGGCGUGUGUGAUACACGCGCUACUCCGCUUUAUACUGCUUGACUUCUAGAGUCUGGUGGUGGUCUCCGUUUGUCCACCAGAUGUGUAUUUUUUUCCAGAAAAUGGGUUCAAAGUUUCUGCUCAACUUGUUUUCGAACAAAACCGAACCCCUUCGACUUUCAAUCCGAUUUUCAGGUUGUUUUAUCACUUUUUACCACUAGCCUAAGCUCUGAUACCAUUUGUAGAGUUUAAAGUGUAGAAUACAAAAGAUUAUUACAACUACAAUGUGGAAUAAUAAACUCUCAAAGUGUAAAAUCGAACCAAAACCGACUCAAAGCUUUUUCAACACCACCAGUGAAGUGUUCUUGAUGUUGAGCUCAGAUUUGUGCCACACCGAAUCAUGCACCAUCGUCCACGGGAAUGGCAAUGGAUAUACCGAGAAAGGAUCCGCUGAAAGCCACCAAGAAUUUCGCCGGAGUUAUGGAAAGCUCCCACUUGGUUACCUCUCUAUGCUCUCUCUCAAAUGUUAUGUUAAGUCCAAGUGGAGAGAAUGAAGAGGUCUUGAAAUUAUAUAACCAAUUCAUUUGAAUUCAAAAUUCAAAUAUUGUACUAUGGUCUAGAG
RNAcentral lists this long non-coding RNA (1113 nucleotides) under Olea europaea subsp. europaea. The record is from RNAcentral. Lineage: Eukaryota; Viridiplantae; Streptophyta; Magnoliopsida; Lamiales; Oleaceae.